AGCCAGCUGCGUGAAUUAAUGUGAAUUGCAGGACACAUUGAACAUCGAUAUCUUGAACGCAUAUUGCGGCCUCGGGCAAUCCCGAGGCCAAGCCUGUCUCAGGGUCG
This 107-nucleotide ribosomal RNA is filed under the name Stylodrilus heringianus. RNAcentral's name for it is "partial 5.8S ribosomal RNA". It matches the Rfam family "5.8S ribosomal RNA", at positions 47 to 154 of the family's 154-position model. Rfam says of the family: 5.8S ribosomal RNA (5.8S rRNA) is a component of the large subunit of the eukaryotic ribosome. It is transcribed by RNA polymerase I as part of the 45S precursor that also contains 18S and 28S rRNA. Functionally, it is thought that 5.8S rRNA may be involved in ribosome translocation. The record is from RNAcentral. Lineage: Eukaryota; Metazoa; Annelida; Clitellata; Lumbriculida; Lumbriculidae.